This is a non-coding RNA of Vicia faba (fava bean), 363 nucleotides long. NCBI's taxonomy places the organism in Eukaryota, Viridiplantae, Streptophyta, Magnoliopsida, Fabales, Fabaceae. The record is from the annotation of a GenBank genome assembly.
AUGGUGCAGCGUCUCACCUACCGCCGUCGUCACAGCUAUGCAACAAAAUCUAACCAGCACAGGGUUGUCAAAACCCCCGGUGGUAAGCUUGUUUAUCAGACCACGAAGAAGAGGGCCAGUGGACCUAAGUGCCCUGUUACUGGCAAGAGAAUUCAAGGAAUUCCACACUUGAGGCCCACUGAGUACAAGAGAUCAAGGUUGUCUAGAAACCGUAGGACUGUGAACCGUGCAUAUGGGGGAGUUCUGUCGGGAGGUGCUGUUAGGGAAAGGAUCAUUAGAGCUUUCUUGGUUGAAGAGCAAAAAAUCGUGAAGAAGGUCCUUAAAAUUCAAAAGACAAAAGAGAAGCAGGCCUCAAAGGCUUGA